UGACAAUGGGUGAUAAAACUGCUUAC
Molecule: non-coding RNA, 26 nt
Filed under: Homo sapiens (human)
Lineage: Eukaryota; Metazoa; Chordata; Mammalia; Primates; Hominidae
Source: RNAcentral